This is a long non-coding RNA of Micropterus dolomieu (smallmouth bass), 1128 nucleotides long. RefSeq lists it as uncharacterized. The transcript is spliced from 6 exons. NCBI's taxonomy places the organism in Eukaryota, Metazoa, Chordata, Actinopteri, Centrarchiformes, Centrarchidae. The record is from RefSeq and is a predicted model, not a curated record.
CCCUUUGUUCACUGAAGGCAGGCUGUGUCAUAUGAGCCCACGAAAGCGGACAUUACGCUUGGUGUGGACGGGGUACCCACACGCUCCUUGUUGUCCUAUUGCUGCUCCCCGGUGAAACCGCCGCGGCCACAAGAAGGACCGCCACACUAAAAAAAGCAACAGUGUUGUUCAUUUAACGUGUAUUUUUUCACUCCAAUAGCGAAAAAUUAUUAUUUUUUUCAUUUAAACUAAACAUUUUAUUUUAUGUUUUACCUAUUUUUUUAUUUGUAUACAACUUAAACUUUCAGCAGGACAUCAAACUGAAUUUAUUCAUUUGAUCAGAGCAUUUUUAUUAGACUAAGUAUGAUUUGCCCAUUGUUGAGUUUGACACAGAACAACCAAGAAGAACCAGCAACAUUGAUACAGAGAAGCAGCUUUCAAUCAGUGUCCCUGCUGUGCAACCUAUUUGGAAGCUCCUGCCAAUGAUUAUUACUUGGGGGCACCAUGGCAGAUAUUGCAACUGUUCAAUUGCUGGUCAUCUUGGAAGAAGACAACAAGAAUGGCGCUACGCAACGGGAUUCCUGACUCACUGGAAGAGCACAUCGAAGAGGGGAAGAAUGCAUGUGGAUUAGGAGGACACAUAAGGCUGCAAUAAGACACUGCUUUUGGGAACAUAUCUGUGAACUCCACAACUAUCAAUGCCGAGUUCAUGCGAAUCACAACAGUUUCUCUGGAGACAAAGUUCUUGGCUCAGUUGGACAAGCACUCCACCGAACUGCUAGAGACUGGACAUCACCAUCAGAAGAGAAUCCUCUAAUCUUUGAUCUACUUGGGCGAACCUGUUGAGCACCUUAUCAAAGAAUACCAGGAGAUGCAGGAAAAUGAGGCUGAAAAACUGGAGCUGGCAACCAUGGCGAUCUUUAUCACUGGGAAAGAUGAUCCUCUCCAUCCACCCAAAGACAUUAUGACUGACACUGAAGGGGGUCCUGAACGAGUUGCCUUUGGUUGGAACAGCUGUUGCCAUGUUCUUUGGGCUCAUUUACACACUCAAACUAAAAAAUCUGAAAAGGCUGAAAUCCAACUUUGAAGUUAUGCAAAAGGUCCUAUUUUAUGGUGUUUCUACAGUAAAGACUUUGGAUCAUUUUAUAA